This 490-nucleotide ribosomal RNA is filed under the name uncultured bacterium. Its description in RNAcentral is "bacterial SSU rRNA". It matches the Rfam family "Bacterial small subunit ribosomal RNA", at positions 28 to 517 of the family's 1533-position model. The record is from RNAcentral.
GAUAAACGCUGGCGGCGCACAUAAGACAUGCAAGUCGAACGGACUUAACUCAUUCUUUACGAUUGAGAGCGGUUAGUGGCGGACUGGUGAGUAACACGUAAGCAACCUGCCUAUUAGAGGGGAAUAACAGUGAGAAAUCAUUGCUAAUACCGCAUAUGCUCACAGUACCACAUGGUACAGUGAGGAAAGGAGUAAUCCGCUAAUAGAUGGGCUUGCGUCUGAUUAGCUAGUUGGUGGGGUAACGGCCUACCAAGGCGACGAUCAGUAGCCGGACUGAGAGGUUGAACGGCCACAUUGGGACUGAGAUACGGCCCAGACUCCUACGGGAGGCAGCAGUCGGGAAUAUUGCGCAAUGGAGGAAAGCCUGACCCAGCAACGCCGCGUGAAGGAUGAAGGUCUUCGGAUUGUAAAACCUUAGUCAACAGGGAAGAAGCAAGUNACGGUACCUGUGGAGGAAGGCCCAACGGGCUAACUAACGUGCCAGCAGCCG